Molecule: long non-coding RNA, 467 nt
Organism: Sebastes umbrosus (honeycomb rockfish)
Lineage: Eukaryota; Metazoa; Chordata; Actinopteri; Perciformes; Sebastidae
Exons: 3
Source: RefSeq, a predicted model, not a curated record
AGGGACUCGGCCCAGAGUCUCCCGGGUCUCUGCGGGGUCCGUGUGCCUGGUCUGGGAACUGGAGCUGCGGGUUAUCCUGGUGACUGGAGGCUGGGGGCUUUUUUAUCCGAGCUGGACCUGGACCUGUUCAUUCCAACACCUGUUGACAGCAAGAAAACAAAUAUCAAAUCAUUGAGCUCUAAUGAAACAUCAAUCACAGCUCAUGAGCGAGAGAAGCUGAGAUGUUUUAAAACUGUCAACUGUUGAACAAAAGGCCGAGACCAGAAGAAACCAAACACAGGCUGAGAGCAGCAGGAGAAAGGUUUGUGUCAAAACAACAAAUCAAAGAUGCAACAGCAGUUUCUCCUCGAUGUUUAACUGCUCAUUGAGAAAGAAGAAGAAGAAGAAGAAAGAAGAAGAAGAAGAAGAAGAAAGAAGAAGAAGAAGAAGAAGAAGAAGAAGAAGAAGAAGAAGAAAGAAGAAGAAGA